RNAcentral lists this ribosomal RNA (253 nucleotides) under uncultured bacterium. RNAcentral's name for it is "partial 16S ribosomal RNA". It matches the Rfam family "Bacterial small subunit ribosomal RNA", at positions 524 to 776 of the family's 1533-position model. The record is from RNAcentral.
UACGUAGGGGGCAAGCGUUGUCCGGAUUUAUUGGGCGUAAAGAGCGUGUAGGCGGCCAGACAGGUCCGUUGUGAAAACUCGAGGCUCAACCUCGAGAUGUCGAUGGAAACCGUCUGGCUAGAGUCCGGAAGAGGAGUGUGGAAUUCCUGGUGUAGCGGUGAAAUGCGCAGAUAUCAGGAAGAACACCUAUGGCGAAGGCAGCACUCUGGGACGGUACUGACGCUGAGACGCGAAGGCCAGGGGAGCAAACGGG